Long non-coding RNA from Dendronephthya gigantea, 1177 nucleotides. RefSeq lists it as uncharacterized. The transcript has 4 exons. NCBI's taxonomy places the organism in Eukaryota, Metazoa, Cnidaria, Anthozoa, Malacalcyonacea, Nephtheidae. The record is from RefSeq and is a predicted model, not a curated record.
CCAAACCUAAACUAAACUAACUUUAUUUAUACUGGAUUACUCUUGUUCUAAUCUAAACUUUUCUUCCUAUAGAUGUCUGAAAGAAAUUAUAGUUGUUUGAUCCAGUGAUAAUAUGGAAGGAAAAGUUACAAUCACCUGAGGCUGAACACGCGUCAGAUGCCGACACGAGGUCAUUUCAGUUCAAGGAAAAAAAAUCACGUUUCAGCUUUGCAAAUUGCAACCGAAAAUAAUACCUUAGCACACCACAGGAGACGAUAAAGAACGAAGAUGCACAUAUCAGGGAGAUGAAUAAAGUCAAGGAUUCGUAAGUUUGUUACAACGCUGAGCUUUCAUCGAGUUUUCGAUUAUUCUGGGCAAUAUAAAUCAGUUUGCAAUCAGUUUACACAGAUGUCAACACAUUUGUGAGUGUGCCAUUUUCAUUUGAAAGAGUGGAAGGGAAAGAUCUUGAAACGGAAGCGGGUUUGUCCUUCAUAGUCUCCGGCGAUUGGGUACACAGAAGAAUAGUAUGCCUGUUUGCGGGUUAGCCUUCCAUCAUGCAACGCGAGCAUCCUCGUUCCCAGGUUUUCUGCGUACUGCGCAAAGUCAGUCCAACGAGCGACUGGGACUGAGACGAAUUGUAGAAGAUUUGUAGAAGAUUGAGGCUACGUUCACACGGGACGGGACGAAUUUGGGACCGUGCUCGAAUUUGCCCGGUUUUUUCGUUUGAACACGUAGAACUGGUCAAAUUUUCAUCCAUUUUUACCGUUUAAAGCCUGAACCAGACGAGAACCAAAGCACUGUACCAAAUUUGUCCGUUUGAGAACUUGAGAACCUAAGAACUUACCGUAGUUCGGAAUCAAACAUUGCAAUUUUAUAACUUUUAGUUUGCUCUUUCCAGCUGUGGUGGUUUAAUUAUUUAUUUAUCCUUGCCUAAAAGAAAAAAGUUUAUAAAAUCGAUAACAUUUUUAUCCCAACACUCCUGUGGUCAACUGCGAUCAGCCGUUUGAUACUUAUACCAAUUUAAGGUCGACAGAGAGUCAGAGCCCGAAUAAAUAUCAAUUGAUUGGCUUGCGAAAAUGAUACUUUUUCCACGUAAAAAUAUAUAACGUAUUUUUACGUGUGUUUAGUUAAAUACGAUUUUUCUUGGUGGCGUAAAAGUCUAUAUAAAAAUUGCGCCCUGUGAUUAGUCGUAUACCAU